RNAcentral lists this ribosomal RNA (289 nucleotides) under uncultured bacterium. RNAcentral describes it as "partial 16S rRNA". It matches the Rfam family "Bacterial small subunit ribosomal RNA", at positions 505 to 793 of the family's 1533-position model. The record is from RNAcentral.
GUGUCAGCAGCCGCGGUAAUACGGGGGGUGCAAGCGUUGUUCGGAUUUAUUGGGCGUAAAGCGCGUGUAGGCGGUUUGUUAAGUCUGAUGUGAAAGCCCUGGGCUCAACCCAGGAAGUGCAUUGGAAACUGGCAGACUUGAAUACGGGAGAGGGUAGUGGAAUUCCGGGGGUAGGAGUGAAAUCGGUAGAUAUAAGGAGGAACACCGUGGGCGAAGGCGGCUGCCUGGACCGAUAUUGACGCUGAGCCGCGAAAGCGUGGGUAGCAAACAGGAUUAGAUACCCUGGUAG